RNAcentral lists this ribosomal RNA (263 nucleotides) under uncultured bacterium. Its description in RNAcentral is "partial 16S ribosomal RNA". It matches the Rfam family "Bacterial small subunit ribosomal RNA", at positions 793 to 1055 of the family's 1533-position model. The record is from RNAcentral.
GUCCACACUGUAAACGAUGAAUGCUAGGUGUAGGGGGUAUCGACCCCUUCUGUGCCGGAGUUAACACAAUAAGCAUUCCGCCUGGGGAGUACGGCCGCAAGGUUGAAACUCAAAGAAAUUGACGGGGGCCCGCACAAGCAGCGGAGCAUGUGGUUUAAUUCGAAGCAACGCGAAGAACCUUACCAGGUCUUGACAUCCAAUAAAACUUGUAGAGAUACAUCGUGCCUUCGGGCGUAUUGAGACAGGUGGUGCAUGGUUGUCGU